GUCAGAAAACAGUGUCCUAUAUAGGUGCGCAAUAAAUUGUGGCUACGCUACGGCUUUCGAUAUGGCUUGGUAGGUCUCGAUACACUAUCAACUUUAAAAGUAGAUCUUGGUUCAAAAAAGGUUGGGCACCCCUGUGCUAGAGCUUGAUGUCCUUAAGCUGUCCCCGAAGAUCCUGUCCCUGCGAAACAAGCUUAUCUUGAGUGCACAUGUUUGCCCCAAGAGUUGUUUUUUCAAAGGGGGCACUAAAAGAAAAAAAACGGCACAUUUGUUUAUGUGGCCAGUUGUCUAUGUUCUGGUUGUAAUUGUUAUUUAUAUUGUUGCACUGUAUUAAUGCAUGCUGUCUCCGGGUGAAGGAAGGAAGGAGGUUCUCAACUGGUUGUGGGGCCAUUGUCUAAGGGUCACAGAUGAGAUGGCGCCUUUUGCUUAUUACUCCUGCAAAGAAAACAGGUGCAGCAGAUUGAAAGCGCUACUAUCACGUGCAGGACGAUAGUUAUGCUGAGUCACUGCAGUUGGCAACAUCACCAGCCAACACACCCAGUAAGACAAACACACGCACAAUUCAGCCGCUGCAAAUCUUAACACUUGGUUUCGUGGAUGUUCAUUCAGUCCACAUUAGGAUCGACUCAUGCACUGUACAAUACAAUGUAUGUUUAUGUUGUGAUUAAACCGGGUGUUAGUUGUCUCCACAGAAC
Long non-coding RNA from Gasterosteus aculeatus aculeatus (three-spined stickleback), 692 nucleotides. The record is from Ensembl. NCBI's taxonomy places the organism in Eukaryota, Metazoa, Chordata, Actinopteri, Perciformes, Gasterosteidae.